RNAcentral lists this ribosomal RNA (372 nucleotides) under uncultured Bacteroidota bacterium. RNAcentral describes it as "bacterial SSU rRNA". It matches the Rfam family "Bacterial small subunit ribosomal RNA", at positions 521 to 896 of the family's 1533-position model. The record is from RNAcentral. Lineage: Bacteria; Pseudomonadati; Bacteroidota.
UAAUACGGAGGAUCCAAGCGUUAUCCGGAUUUAUUGGGUUUAAAGGGUCCGCAGGCGGAAUAUUAAGUCAGUGGUGAAAUCCUACAGCUUAACUGUAGAACUGCCAUUGAUACUGGUUUUCUCGAGUACACCUGAAGUGGCGGAAUGUGUCAUGUAGCGGUGAAAUGCUUAGAUGUGACACAGAACACCAAUUGCGAAGGCAGCUCACUAAAGUGUAACUGACGCUGAGGGACGAAAGCGUGGGUAGCGAACAGGAUUAGAUACCCUGGUAGUCCACGCCGUAAACGAUGAUCACUAGAUGUUGGCGAUAUAAUGUCAGUAUCUGAGCGAAAGCAUUAAGUGAUCCACCUGGGGAGUACGGUCGCAAGAUUG